This is a long non-coding RNA of Panicum virgatum (switchgrass), 1005 nucleotides long. RefSeq lists it as uncharacterized. The transcript has 3 exons. NCBI's taxonomy places the organism in Eukaryota, Viridiplantae, Streptophyta, Magnoliopsida, Poales, Poaceae. The record is from RefSeq and is a predicted model, not a curated record.
CACCUGCCGAGGUGAUUUUCCUUGCGCCGUCUCUACUGCCGCCACCUCCUGAUCGCCUCUUCUUCUCCCAUCGUCGCCUUGCCCCUCCUUCGCCGCUGUCCAGCAGAUCAUCUCCCCAGGGGUGCUGCGGACGUCCUGCCCCAACCUUCCACAAGCGGUGCCCUAUCUUUCUUUCUGUCCAAUCUUUUUUCCCUCUUGGCUUAAUUCCCCUGCGUGAUCUGCAGCUGUGGGAGAAACCAAGGGCAGCGUGAGGGAGAAGGGGGAAUCAGGGAAAGAGAGCCAAGGUAGGGAAGAAGAGAGAAGGGAGGUGAUUAAGGCCUCGCGUGAUUCACCAAAUCCCCUCACAAAUUUGUGAUCCUUGCUGCUAAGGUUUGAUAAAUUCUAGUGGUGAGCGUGUGGUGCCGGGUUCUCAACAAAGUUAAGGCAAGUGUAAUGACGAACCUCUUGAUGUGUGAUUAUGUUUGUGGCUUACUUGCCGCCCUUGGGCAAUGUUUAUUCAAUGCCUUUAUUUUAUAUGUCAAUUUCUUUAAGCUUCAUGUCAUAAUUUUCUGGUUCUAUCAAAUGUUCAAGAUUCGUGUGUUGCCUUUCAUAUCAUUCAAGUGCCGGGAGUUUGUAUAGCCACCGAUUGUGCUAUUUGAAUGUUAUGUUCAGGUUCUUGUGAAUAAGUGCUGGCCCCCACUUAUUCGGCUUUACCGGUAAAUGCUAAGAAAGUUUUAGGUGACGUCCGUUUCAGACGGAAACUACUGUUUCAUUGUUGUUCCAUUGUUUUUGGAGUUCUGUCGUUCAUGUACUCGCAGUCGCUCUUUCGGUUCUAAUUGUGCUUGCUGAGUAUUCUUACUCACUCUUAUGUUUAUUUGGCUUUUAGGUACUCGCUGAACAAGUUUGCAUGGGAUGGGAGUAACCACUUCAUGAUGAGCACGCACACCUUUUACGAUUCAUUAAACAAAUCUCUAGGCUGAAUAAUUCUUUUGAUAUUGAGAAUUGUUGUGUGGUCGUUUAGAUGUC